AACGAACGCUGGCGGCAGGCCUAACACAUGCAAGUCGAGCGAGGGAGCAAUCUCUAGCGGCGGACGGGUGAGUAACGCGUGGGAACGUGCCCCUUGGUACGGAAUAGCCCCGGGAAACUGGGAGUAAUACCGUAUAAGCUCUACGGAGGAAAGAUUUAUCGCCAAGGGAUCGGCCCGCGUUGGAUUAGGUAGUUGGUGGGGUAAUGGCCUACCAAGCCGACGAUCCAUAGCUGGUUUGAGAGGAUGAUCAGCCACACUGGGACUGAGACACGGCCCAGACUCCUACGGGAGGCAGCAGUGGGGAAUCUUAGACAAUGGACGCAAGUCUGAUCCAGCCAUUCCGCGUGCAGGAUGAAGGCCCUCGGGUUGUAAACUGCUUUUGUACGGAACGAAAAGGUCUCUCUUAAUACGGGGGGCUCAUGACGGUACCGUAAGAAUAAGCACCGGCUAACUACGUG
RNAcentral lists this ribosomal RNA (458 nucleotides) under uncultured bacterium. RNAcentral's name for it is "bacterial SSU rRNA". It matches the Rfam family "Bacterial small subunit ribosomal RNA", at positions 29 to 507 of the family's 1533-position model. The record is from RNAcentral.